This 2362-nucleotide long non-coding RNA is filed under the name Theobroma cacao (cacao). Its description in RNAcentral is "long non-coding RNA (TCAC_LNC002396)". The record is from RNAcentral. Lineage: Eukaryota; Viridiplantae; Streptophyta; Magnoliopsida; Malvales; Malvaceae.
UCAAAUGAUUCAUUUAAACAUAUAGGUACUUCCCAACACAUUUUGAAAUGCAAGUUCUGUCACGACCCGGAACUCCCAUCGAGCCCAUGACAACCGCCGCGACGUCUCGAUACACAUUCAUUACCCGGAAUAUCAAUCGAAACCUCGCAAGGCUUAACAUUAGUUUUUCUCGCUUCCCCUGUGAAUAUUAUUCACUAAAAUUAUGUUUUGAGAGAUUAUAAACAUUUUCCAAAUCAAAACAAUAGAAAAACAAUUUUUUUCUCACAGGGGCAUUUUGGUCAUUUUUCAAAAAUCUCAAAAUCCGCUAAAAAUGUAGUAUGUGAGUACAAAACACAUAAUUCAUAAUCAAAAAUAAAUUUGGAUGUCUAAAACAUUCGUUUAAAAUGAAAUUAUAACUAUUAGAAUAAAAUAAAAAUAUUGAAUAAAAUAUUCAAUUUUCUCAUAAAACAAUAUUUUUAGAACACUAUAUAAAUAAUUUAUACAGCGUAAAAGUAAAAUAAAUUCAUAUAUAUAUCGUAAUACAGUAAGCCAGAGUAUUUAAUUUAAUUUACAGUAACAAGUGGGCCCACGAACGACCAAAAGUAUUAAAAGCAGUAAACCUACAGUUUGGAGGAUGCAAAUCCAAUGGUGGUCCUCGAUGAAAUCAGCUAUCUAUAAACUAUUCUGAGCCUGAAAUUGGUGGAAAUGAGGGUGGUGAGAUUUUAUAAUCCCAAUGAGCAAAAAAAUACCAUUUAAAAUAUCAAAAGCCAAGUAAAUGGAGACAAAUAAAACAGUUUAACAUAGUGUAAUUCAUCACCUUUCAACUUGUUUCAUCCAAAUAAAAUCAAUUCAUAUAAAUCUAGUAAUCAACAUGGCUUAUGAAUUUCUUAAAAGCUUUGGCUCGUGCCAAUAUCAUUCUCAUACCCAGUUAUCAGGGAUGCCUUGAUCGAGGGCUAUCCCAACCGAGUUCACCAAGGCUGUUAAAAGGUUAUGUACACAUAAAUCAUGUUUUUAUUUUGAAAACAUAGCCGUUCCUUGGUGUUGGCUGAGUUCCCCCUCACGUGGUGGUCUGACUUGAAGUGAACUCCAAAAGUGUUAACCUCAGGAGUUAUCCACCAGAGCCUCUCAUAUUGAGGUAAGAUAUAACGGGAUCGUGCCCCUCUAAUAGGCUGGUCCACGGAAACUCAUCCACUGCAAUAAGCUAAUAAUUAUCCCACCAAUCAAUAAAAUUCAAUAACAUGAUAUGGCAAUUAUUGUAAUUCAUAGCCUUUCAAGGCUAAAUACACAGUUCAUAUAUUUCAACACAAAUACCAAUUCAGCCAUUCAUGCAAAUAUUGUCAUAAGCCAUUCGAUUCAAACCAUGAAUUUACAACACAUGAAAUGGUCUCCAAUUACUCUAUUUUAAAGUCAUUAUUCAAUUUUAAAACAAUUUUAUGAAAUCAUUUCAUUAAAUCACAUUUGGUUUAUAAAACCAAAAAAUGAAUCAUUUAAUUAAUUUUCCAUGAAAUUCACAAAAUCAGAUAAAAACCAGUUUAGAUAAUUAAGACAAUAGCAAGUUUACUCACUAUGUCUAAAGUGUGGAUUUUCGAAGUACUCUGACUUCUGGUCCUCGGAUGCAAUUUUCUUGCCUUUAUCGAAGGACUCACCACCUUGACAUAGUACAAAAUCGAGAAACUUACUACAUUGGUACUAAAUUGAAAUUAAACUAAUUUAGACUACUACUGCAUGAUAUGGAAUGCAAAAUGCACGGGUAACCAUCUAAACCCAAUAUUGGCCUAAUUCGUCUUAUCACUCGAUUAAUUGGCCAACGAGUCCAAUUUAGCUCUAAAUUGCUCCAUUUCUUUUCCAAUACCUUAAUUCACCAAACACAAGUCAAAUAACCUAAAAUUUGGCAAAACCAUCUUCACUUUUCUUCUUAGAAUUUUCGGUCAAUAAUGGUGCAUUAACACCGUGAUUUUUCCUACUACUUUUUCACACCAUAAUUCAUCAUUUUCUAACCAAUUCUCUUAAAAUAAAAAAUCAAAUUCAUCCUCACUCAAUACAAGGUAGGUUCGACCAUUGAUGGGUGAUGGGGAAAAUGAAUUCUUUUCUUAUUGUUUUGCUUCUAGACAUGGUAAACUAACUAAAAACACUAACAUAACUUGAAAUCAAAUCAAUCCAACAUCAUUCUCUCUCCAUACCCAUUCGGCUAGCCAUGAAUUCACCAUGAAAACAUGAAAUUUAACCAUGGAAAAUAAGGAGAAAUGCUUAAGGAAAUAGAUUUCAAGUUUAAAUUGAAAAAUCCUACCUUUUUCACUUGUUUUCCUUGAUUUUCCACACUUUUUCUCUUGAAAUUCUCCACCUAGGGUUCUUGUUCUUUCUUUUCUUCCUUUGUUUCUCUUUG